RNAcentral lists this ribosomal RNA (508 nucleotides) under uncultured bacterium. Its description in RNAcentral is "bacterial SSU rRNA". It matches the Rfam family "Bacterial small subunit ribosomal RNA", at positions 8 to 507 of the family's 1533-position model. The record is from RNAcentral.
AGAGUUUGAUCAUGGCUCAGAGUGAACGCUGGCGGCAGGCCUAAUACAUGCAAGUCGAACGGCAGCACAGCAGAGCUUGCUCUGUGGGUGGCGAGUGGCGGACGGGUGAGGAAUACGUGGGAAUCUGCCCAGUCGUGGGGGAUAACGUAGGGAAACUUACGCUAAUGCCGCAUGCGCCCUUCGGGGAAAGCCGGGGACCUUCGGGCCUGGCGCGAUUGGAUGAGCCCACGUCGGAUUAGCUAGUUGGCGGGUAAAGGCCCACCAAGGCGACGAUCCGUAGCUGGUCUGAGAGGAUGAUCAGCCACACUGGAACUGAGACACGGUCCAGACUCCUACGGGAGGCAGCAGUAGGGAAUAUUGGACAAUGGGCGCAAGCCUGAUCCAGCCAUGCCGCGUGAGUGAAGAAGGCCCUCGGGUUGUAAAGCUCUUUUGUCCGGAAAGAAAAGCGCCGGGUUAAUACCCUGGUGUCCUGACGGUACCGGAAGAAUAAGCACCGGCUAACUUCGUG